UACGUAGGAGGCAAGCGUUGUCCGGAAUUACUGGGUGUAAAGCGCGUGUAGGCGGCAGGCCAAGUCUGUGGUGAAAUCGCUCGGCUCAACUGGGCGGGGCCCAUGGAAACUGGUCAGCUGGAGGACGGUAGAGGUGAGUGGAAUUCCCGGUGUAGUGGUGAAAUGCGUAGAGAUCGGGAGGAACACCCGUGGCGAAGGCGGCUCACUGGGCCGGUCCUGACGCUGAGACGCGAAGGCGUGGGGAGCGAACGGG
RNAcentral lists this ribosomal RNA (253 nucleotides) under uncultured bacterium. RNAcentral's name for it is "partial 16S ribosomal RNA". It matches the Rfam family "Bacterial small subunit ribosomal RNA", at positions 524 to 776 of the family's 1533-position model. The record is from RNAcentral.